UGACGGGAAAAUGUCAUAAUGUGGUUGGCGAU
RNAcentral lists this non-coding RNA (32 nucleotides) under Geobacter sulfurreducens KN400. Lineage: Bacteria; Pseudomonadati; Thermodesulfobacteriota; Desulfuromonadia; Geobacterales; Geobacteraceae. The record is from RNAcentral.